Long non-coding RNA from Xenopus tropicalis (tropical clawed frog), 836 nucleotides. RefSeq lists it as uncharacterized. The record is from RefSeq and is a predicted model, not a curated record. The transcript has 3 exons. Lineage: Eukaryota; Metazoa; Chordata; Amphibia; Anura; Pipidae.
CAUGGAACGGGGGAGCCCUGCCUGAGAGACACCAGCUGAGUGACAGUAACAAGACUCUCACUGUACCCAGUACUGACACCGGCACAUUCACCGCCCUUGUCUCCAACCCCGUCAGUGACGAGAUAAUUGAGUGUGUCCUCCCACGACCAGAGGAGGAAGAAUUCCUUCCUGAAUUACGUGAGAGAAAGGUGGAAAUUGGACUUUGCGCUGCACUGUCAAUAAUUACUGGAGUGGCUGUCGUGGCUCUCAAGGGCGCAGCAAGGAAAAAAUUUGAAGGGUUGAAGUGUAAGGCAGCAAAUGAAAACUCGGCAACUGCUGAAAGUCUUGUGAGCCAACAUUCCUGCGCAGUUUCAGUUGAUGGUCCAACUAAGGAAAAAUCAGAUAUGUUUCCGUGAUUUACCAAAGAAGUUCUGUUUGGUCAUAGGGUGAACCUUGACCUGCUAAUCUUAAUACAUUAGAUUAAUUCUUCCUAUAUCUCUACUAGAUCUUUUCAUAAAUAAUCAUUAGGUAAUUAGGCAACAGAAGUAAGUUCAUAUAAGUAUGUACCUCUCUGUCCUUUUUAUAAUUGCCGCUCCUAUAAUCUCUCCUGUUCAGAUCAUUCUGUACAUGAAUAAGAGAAAUAUAUAAGAUCGUAUAGGUUGGGCAUUAAUAAGAGCAGAGAUGAUAGGAUUAACAUAAAAAUUGCUCGUUAUUACUAAUUAUAAUGCAUAGGGGAUUAUAUAUUUCAUAAUUGCAGAGAUAUAUAAUGGUUACAUAUAUCUAGUGUUUUACUUACAUUCACUUUCCUAUUAUAUACUAUGUGCUUAUGAUUAGUGAUGAGCAAAUCUGUCCAUUUU